Molecule: long non-coding RNA, 1610 nt
Organism: Cyprinus carpio carpio
Lineage: Eukaryota; Metazoa; Chordata; Actinopteri; Cypriniformes; Cyprinidae
Source: Ensembl
UUGGUAUACACUAAUUAACCUGUCCGUACAACGAGAGCAGUAAAAGUUUUUGUACAGAAACCUGGAAACAUUGGAGGCAAGGAUGAAAGCGCACUGCUGCCACCUUCUGGAUAUUUAAUGCAUUUUUUUUUUUUUUUUGUCAAACCCAAAACACAGGUAAGUCAAAAUGCCAUAAAAUAGAAUUGCAGUUCCUGAAGUAAUACCUGUAUUUGAAAGGCAGCACUUUUCCUUUGGCAUACUCGUCUUGAUGUCCACAAUCAUCUGAAAUAUAAAUACGGAAAAGGCCGAUCACAAUACAGUAUGCAAAUACAUGUAGGAAAGACAUCCCAAUUCGAUAUACAAAUAUUAUAAUAACGACGCCACUGUAGUUUACAUUUUGAAUAGUUAAGGUUCUUAAAAUGGUUGGCGACUCAAAAAUGACAAUUCUGUCUUUUAAUGUCACCUUGAAUUUACACACAAGCCUGGCUGUUUUAUGGUGCUCUGUCCUUUAUGAGCUAGCCUCAGUCCUCGUCAGUUUUAAUUGUAUGGACCUAACAACUGAAUUCCCACAGAGAAAAGCUAAUAAUAAUAAUAAUAAUAAUACUGAGAAUGACAUGAGGGAGACUAAAUGACAGCAUAGCAAUUUUUGAGAGAAUUUAUGAUAUAUUACCAAAAGCAUCUACAAAACCAAAUUAAAUGUCAAAUAGGCCUACUGUGGAUAAGAUAACAAAAAGUGCAUUCUCUAAACAGCGCUGUAAUCAUAACUACAUGAUUUCAGAGUGAGUUUAAUAUAAUAAUAGUUUAUUUGGAUGUAUAAAACAGCACUGAGUUUUGACAUGGCAGAUAAGCAAAGACACCCCAAGAUGAAGCUCCACUGGAAUAGUAAACGGCAGAACUCAGCAGGACAUAAUGUGGUAUUCUCUUGACAUAUCUUACCUCAGUGCUUUCGUUUGGAUAACAAACACCAGGAAGUGAAUUUAAACUGAAGUGUGUAAUUUUAAUGUUUAAAUAAUUUCUUCUCGCAGUUAAAUAUGCAGAGAUACAUACUUGUAAACCAUUCAUAAACUAAAUCCCGCGAUGGAAGUAAACUUUGACUCAGUGGCGCCGUCAAAACUUUACUGUUUAAAUCCCGACCAGCCGCAACACUGGCUCAACCAAUGGCGAGAAUUUGGGGCGGGGCUAGAUUAUCGUCUGACUAAUGGCGUAUAGGGAUUGUGUCAAAUCUAUAGAAUCGCAUUUGGUGCCGCAGAAAAUACACGCUUCAAUUUUAAUAAAGGAAUUCAUAUGGCAACUGGCUAGUCUAGCAUUAAAAGACCAUACACCUGCCACGAUAACACUAAAUACAAAAACAUACAGCCCAUCUGGGUCCAAGUUUUGAGAAGCUAGAAGAGGGGCCCAUUCUUCGUCCGUCGCUGAUGAUUUGGCAUGAUCUUGGAUUGGUUGUUUCUUCGAAGCUCAUCCCGGAGUUGCUGUCAUCGCAUCAGGUCCGUAAACUUAAACCUGCUCGGGAGCAGGAUUAGAUCGCAUCUUUGUGAGCAGAACUGAUACUUAAAAUCUGUCCCAGCCACUGCUACGUUAUUAGAGGAGUACCCUACUGAUCCAGGAACAGUAAUUUACAAUAAUAAUAAUUA